UACGUAGGGGGCGAGCGUUGUCCGGAUUCAUUGGGCGUAAAGCGCUUUAAGGCGGUUCGCUAAGUCGCGUGUGAAACCUCCAGGCUCAACCUGGAGACGCCACGCGAUACUGGCGUGACUAGAGUUCGGUAGGGGAUCACGGAAUUCCUGGUGUAGCGGUGAAAUGCGCAGAUAUUGGGAAGAACACCAGUGGCGAAGGCGGUUCUCUGGGACGGUACUGACGCUGAGACGCGAAAGCGUGGGGAGCGAACAGG
RNAcentral lists this ribosomal RNA (254 nucleotides) under uncultured bacterium. Its description in RNAcentral is "partial 16S ribosomal RNA". It matches the Rfam family "Bacterial small subunit ribosomal RNA", at positions 524 to 776 of the family's 1533-position model. The record is from RNAcentral.